GCCACCCAGGCGCCCCUGUUGUUGCCAUUUUAAAUCACAUCACUUGAAUGCCUUGAUUGUUGCAUACGUCUGGGUCAUGUUAUAAUUCAAAAUUAUGUUUUGAGUAGUAUUAUAGACCUGCAAAUGGAUGCUCUGUCUGGGAUAGGUGAGGUAGCCACCUUAGGUUUCUUUAAAUUUCCUUAAAAGCAGUGUUUCUCAGCGUGUGGUCCCCAGACUGACAGCAAUAGAAUUACCUGGGAAUUUAUGAGAUGUACAGAUUCUCAGGCUCCUUCCCAGGCCCACUAAAUCAGAAAUUCUGGCAAUCUAUGUUUUAAGAAGACUCCAGGUGACUCUGAUGCCAGUUUAAGUUUGAGAGCCACUGCUUAAGAGGAUCCUGAUCCCACCUUCAGCUUGGCCAAUCAUGUCAUCAUCUGGGUCUGCCCUUAAAUACCAACUUAGAAUACUUGUACAUGUUUGGGAAUAUAACCUUACAUUCACUGCUACUUGUUACUAGAUUUUAUUUGUAAGCAAUCUCUACAUGCAACGUGGGGCUCAAACUCACAACCCCAAGAUCAAGAGUCGCUUGCUCUACCGACUGAGCCAGUCAGGCACCCUGAGACUUCAUUUCUAGUGAAGCCUGCUGUUAAAGAGAGUUUGAAAAGUAUUGUCACAAACCAGAGUACCUGGACUACACUGUUUUGGCCCUCCCUAUGUUUACUUUAAAAAAAAAAUCUGAUUCAGGGUGCCUGGGUGGCUCUGUCGGUUGAGCGUCCAACUUCAGCUCAGGUCAUGGUCUCAUGAGUUCAAGCCCCACAUUGAACUCACAGCUGUCAGUGCAGAGCCCUAACUCUAACUCAUCAAUAUUGAGAGGCAUCAUUUUUUUAAAAAAACAACCUGUGGAAAAACAUUGUUGUAUUCACUGAUACACUGUGUGAUGCUCCGUAAUAUAGUGCAGUGUUCCCCUUAUGAGGACCCAUAGGACAAAAUGCUUCUAUCUCAGAACCAUACAUGUUGUGCUUCUAUGGAGGAAACUGUUUACUUUUAUUUCAGGAACACAGUGAAACAUAUGCAUUAUUCUGUUUUCCUUUUUGCAUCGACUGCAAGAAAUCUUAGAGCCAAAUUUUGUGUUCUACUUCCUUCCCCUGUCCCAUGCCCUUUUGCCUAGAUUUUCUGUUAAUUUUUUCAAUGGAUAUUUUAGUGACAUAUCUUAGGUUCAUUUUCAAAUAGGGUGGAGUGUGAGUAAAUAAAUAAGUAUAUAGGAAAUUAUUAGCAUUUGAGUAGUAGUGGAAAUUGAGGGGUGAAUGAGAUAACCCAGGGAGAGUGGGCAAAAUAGGAAGAGACAACGGCCAAGGACCCCCCAGAAAAGCAAAUUUAUGUGGUUGGCUAAAGAAGGAGAAACCAGAGAAAGGGAACUAGCAACAGAGAGCACUUCAAGAAAGAGGAACUGGCCAGUGGUGUCCAAGAGUAGAAAGAAGUCACGUAAGAUAAAAACUGAAAAAUGGUCAUUGGAUUUAGCAGCAAGGAAGACAGUGGGGACCUUCACAACAGUUUCAGCAGAGACCCUGCUCUACUUCAGUAUGUGAAGCCGCUUGCUGUACACAUCAGUUUGCCAUCCAGGAACUCUCAGGAGGGUUUAGAUAUCAAGGUACAGAAGUCCUUUCUGGCCCUACGACCCAGCAAUUGCACUACUAGGCAUUUAUCCAAGGGAUACAGGUGUGCUGUUUCGAAGGAGCACAUGCACCCCAAUGUUUAUAGCAGCACUAUAAACAACAGCCAAAUUAUGGAAA
Molecule: long non-coding RNA, 1766 nt
Organism: Felis catus (domestic cat)
Lineage: Eukaryota; Metazoa; Chordata; Mammalia; Carnivora; Felidae
Exons: 3
Source: RefSeq, a predicted model, not a curated record